RNAcentral lists this ribosomal RNA (253 nucleotides) under uncultured bacterium. RNAcentral describes it as "partial 16S ribosomal RNA". It matches the Rfam family "Bacterial small subunit ribosomal RNA", at positions 524 to 776 of the family's 1533-position model. The record is from RNAcentral.
UACGUAGGGGGCUAGCGUUUUUCGGAAUCACUGGGCGUAAAGCGCACGCAGGCGGAUCGAUAAGUCGGGGGUGAAAGCCCGGGGCUCAACCUCGGAAUUGCCUUCGAUGCUGUCGGUCUCGAGUCCGGGAGAGGUGAGUGGAAUUCCCAGUGUAGAGGUGAAAUUCGUAGAUAUUAGGAAGAACGCCAGUGGCGAAGGCGGCUCACUGGCCCGGUACUGACGCUCAGGUGCGAAAGCGUGGGGAGCAAGCAGG